CCUACGGGGGGCAGCAGUGGGGAAUAUUGGACAAUGGGGGCAACCCUGAUCCAGCGACGCCGCGUGUGUGAAGAAGGCCUGCGGGUUGUAAAGCACUUUUAGUGGGGAGGAAAACCCCCGACCUAACACGUCGGGAAUUGACUUAACCCAAAGAAAAAGCACCGGCUAACUCUGUGCCAGCAGCCGCGGUAAUACAGAGGGUGCAAGCGUUAAUCGGAAUUACUGGGCGUAAAGCGUGCGUAGACGGUUUAUUAAGUCGGAUGUGAAAUCCCCGGGCUCAACCUGGGAAUUGCAUUCGAGACUGAUCAGCUAGGGUACGGAAGAGGGAAGCGGAAUUUCCGGUGUAGCGGUGAAAUGCGUAGAUAUCGGAAGGAACAUCAGUGGCGAAAGCGGCUUCCUGGUCCAGUACCGACGUUCAGGCACGAAAGCGUGGGGAGCAAACAGGAUUAGAUACCCUGGUAGUCCACGCCAUAAACGGUGGGCACUAGAUGUGGGGACCUUCCACGGUCUCUGCGUCGCAGCUAACGCAUUAAGUGCCCCGCCUGGGGAGUACGGCCGCAAGGCUAAAACUCAAAGGAAUUGACGGA
This 587-nucleotide ribosomal RNA is filed under the name uncultured bacterium. Its description in RNAcentral is "bacterial SSU rRNA". It matches the Rfam family "Bacterial small subunit ribosomal RNA", at positions 338 to 917 of the family's 1533-position model. The record is from RNAcentral.